Molecule: long non-coding RNA, 601 nt
Organism: Ctenopharyngodon idella (grass carp)
Lineage: Eukaryota; Metazoa; Chordata; Actinopteri; Cypriniformes; Xenocyprididae
Exons: 3
Source: RefSeq, a predicted model, not a curated record
GACUCCUGCUGCAUUUCAGCUCAUGCUUUUAGAGUCUAAGACCGAGACGCUGUCAAAGGACCUCGAUAAAGUGUGAUGCUCUGGUGGGCGAAACCACAUUGCUGAAAGAAGCAGAUAAAGAGGACUUCACUGUAUGGAAAAGAACAGCUUGGACGUUCUUCAGAAUGUCUCCUUUUGUUCUCCAGGAAAGAACGGAAGUCAGAUGGAGUUAGAAUGACACGAGGGAAGAAGUUUGGAACAACAUGAGGGUGAGUAAACUGUGACAUAAUUUACAUUUAUGUUUUCAAUUCUUUAAUAAAAACUUUGGCUUUCAUGUUGAACUUUGUCAGUUUACCCGUGACACCAUAUUUCCCUCUAUAAGACUUUAUUCUCUGCAUUCAGAUACAAAGACUUAAUAAAGGCAGAGGAAAAGAAUAAUUCCUCAUUUCCUUAUUUCCCUACCCUGUCUCUCUCAGCUGGGUGAGGUGGUGUUUUGAUGGAGAUAAUUUUUCUCGCCCCUGGAGGCCUGUGCUGUUGUGUUGUGGCAUUAGGCAUGAAUUGUGGUUCGUUCCAGCAGAUUAUUAAAAUUCUUAAUCUCUUCCUCUUUUCACCGCCUCCCAUU